Molecule: small nuclear RNA, 107 nt
Organism: Microcebus murinus (gray mouse lemur)
Lineage: Eukaryota; Metazoa; Chordata; Mammalia; Primates; Cheirogaleidae
Source: Ensembl
GUGCUCUCUUUGGCAGCACAUAUCCUAAAAUUGGAACAAUACAGAGUAGAUUAGCAUGGCUCAUGUGAAAAUAUGACGUGCACAUUCUUGAAAAGCUCCAUAUUUUG